This 159-nucleotide non-coding RNA is filed under the name bovine gut metagenome. The record is from RNAcentral.
UGAAGAAUCUUAGAUUUUCUUGAUGUUCUGUCAGUAAUGUAGCAAUGCAGCAACAUGGAUGUUGAUGCAAACAAAAGCCGGGGCAUGGACGCCACGUCUUUUGUGGUUGCGGGAAGAAAAAAUGUUUUGGCAGAACUUUAGAAAAUGUUAGAUUCGUAA